This 512-nucleotide ribosomal RNA is filed under the name uncultured bacterium. Its description in RNAcentral is "partial 16S ribosomal RNA". The record is from RNAcentral.
CACGUAGUUAGCCGUGACUUUCUCACAGGGUACCGUCACUGUCUUCUUCCCCUGCGACAACAGUUUACAAUCCGAAGACCCUCUUCCUGCACGCGGCGUUGCUGCGUCAGGGUUGCCCCCAUUGCGCAAUAUUCCCCACUGCUGCCUCCCGUAGGAGUCUGGGCCGUGUCUCAGUCCCAAUGCGGCCGAUCAACCUCUCAGUUCGGCUACAGAUCGUCGCCUUGGUGAGCCGUUACCUCACCAACCAGCUAAUCUGACGCGAGUCCAUCCAUAAGCGAUAAAUCUUUCAAAAUUCUAUGAUGCCAUAAAAUUUCAAUAUGCGGUAUUAGUCCUCGUUUCCAAGGAUUAUCCCCUCUUAUGGGCAGGUUACUCACGCGUUACUCGCCCGUCCGCCACUUUCCACCCAACACGUUCACCCCGAAGGGAUCACCCCAAAUCGGGUUUCUCGUUCGACUUUGCUAUGUGUUAGGCACGCCGCCAGCGUUGUCCUGAGCCAGGAGUCAACUCUCUAG